AUACGUAGGUGGCAAGCGUUGUCCGGAAUUACUGGGUGUAAAGGGCGUGUAGGCGGGGAUUUAAGUCAGAUGUGAAAUUCCGGAGCUCAACUCCGGCGCUGCAUCUGAAACUGAAUUUCUUGAGUGCUGGAGAGGAAAGCGGAAUUCCUAGUGUAGCGGUGAAAUGCGUAGAGAUUAGGAGGAACACCAGUGGCGAAGGCGGCUUUCUGGACAGUAACUGACGCUGAGGCGCGAAAGCGUGGGGAGCAAACAGGAUUAGAUACCCUGGUAGUCCACGCCGUAAACGAUGGAUACUAGGUGUAGGAGGUAUCGACCCCUUCUGUGCCGGAGUUAACACAAUAAGUAUCCCACCUGGGGAGUACGGCCGCAAGGUUGAA
Molecule: ribosomal RNA, 377 nt
Filed under: uncultured bacterium
Lineage: Bacteria
Description: bacterial SSU rRNA
Rfam family: Bacterial small subunit ribosomal RNA
Source: RNAcentral